GACGAACGCUGGCGGCGUGGAUUAGGCAUGCAAGUCGAACGGUAUCAUCCUUUCGGGGGUGAGAGAGUGGCGAACUGGUGAGUAACACGUAGGUUAUCUACCCUCAAGACGGGGACAACCCAGGGAAACUUGGGCUAAUACCGGAUGUGAGCUAUCGUGAGAUAGUUUGAAAGGUGGCUUCGGCUGCCGCUUGAGGAUGAGCCUGCGUCCUAUUAGCUAGUUGGUGAGGUAACGGCUCACCGAGGCAGUGAUAGGUAGGCGGCCUUAACGGGUGGUCGCCCACACUGGGAUUGAGAUACGGCCCAGACUCCUACGGGAGGCAGCAGUCGAGAAUAGUCUACAAUGGGCGCAAGCCUGAACCAGCCAUCCCGCGUGAAGGAAGAAGGCCCUACGGGUUGUAAACUUCUUUUCUGUUUGAAGAAUAAGCUCGUCGAGACGAGUGAUGCCGGUAGGACAGGAAUAAGCAUCGGCUAACUCCGUGCCAGCAGCCGCGGUAAU
RNAcentral lists this ribosomal RNA (498 nucleotides) under uncultured bacterium. RNAcentral's name for it is "bacterial SSU rRNA". It matches the Rfam family "Bacterial small subunit ribosomal RNA", at positions 28 to 524 of the family's 1533-position model. The record is from RNAcentral.